This 543-nucleotide ribosomal RNA is filed under the name uncultured bacterium. Its description in RNAcentral is "bacterial SSU rRNA". It matches the Rfam family "Bacterial small subunit ribosomal RNA", at positions 965 to 1504 of the family's 1533-position model. The record is from RNAcentral.
AGAACCUUACCAAGUCUUGACAUCCUUAUGCAAGUCUCUUAGCCGAGAUGUUCUCUUCGGAGACAUAAGUGACAGGUGGCGCAUGGUUGUCGUCAGCUCGUGUCGUGAGAUGUUGGGUUAAGUCCCGCAACGAGCGCAACCCUUAUGUUUAGUUGCCAUCAGUUAGGCUGGGCACUCUAGACAGACUGCCGUGGACAACACGGAGGAAGGUGGGGAUGACGUCAAAUCAUCAUGCCCCUUAUGAUUUGGGCUACACACGUGCUACAAUGGUCGGUACAACGGGCAGCGAAGGAGUGAUCUGGAGCGAAUCCUAAAAAGCCGAUCUCAGUUCGGAUUGUAGGCUGCAACUCGCCUACAUGAAGUUGGAGUUACUAGUAAUCGUGGAUCAGAAUGCCGCGGUGAAUGCGUUCCCGGGUCUUGUACACACCGCCCGUCACACCAUGGAAGUUGGGGGCGCCCGAAGCCAGUGUUCUAACCCGUAAGGGAGGAAGCUGUCGAAGGUGAAAUCAAUGACUAGGGUGAAGUCGUAACAAGGUAACCGUA